UUUCCGUAGGUGAACCUGCGGAAGGAUCAUUACAGAGUUCAUGCCCUCACGGGUAGAUCUCCCACCCUUGAAUAUUUAUACCUUAGUUGCUUUGGCAGGCCGUAGAAACACCCUGGGCUCCGGCUUAUGCGUGCCUGCCAGAGGAAACAAACUCUGUUUUUAGUGAUGUCUGAGUACUAUAUAAUAGUUAAAACUUUCAACAACGGAUCUCUUGGUUCUG
This 220-nucleotide unclassified non-coding RNA is filed under the name plant metagenome. RNAcentral's name for it is "partial contains small subunit ribosomal RNA, internal transcribed spacer 1, and 5.8S ribosomal RNA". The record is from RNAcentral.